This 403-nucleotide ribosomal RNA is filed under the name uncultured bacterium. RNAcentral's name for it is "partial 16S ribosomal RNA". It matches the Rfam family "Bacterial small subunit ribosomal RNA", at positions 28 to 526 of the family's 1533-position model. The record is from RNAcentral.
GACGAACGCUGGCGGCGUGCCUAAUACAUGCAAGUCGAACGCAGUGGGGACGGGUGCGUAACACGUGGGUAACCUCCCAUCAGAGGGGAUAACACUUGGAAACAGGUGCUAAACCGAUACUGAUGGAUGGACCCGCGGUGCAUUAGCUAGUUGGUGAGGUAACGGCUCGCCAAGGCCACGAUGCAUAGCCGACCGGUGAGGUGGAGCGGCCACACUGGGACUGAGACACGGCCCAGACUCCUACGGGAGCCAGCAGUAGGUAAUAGGCGGAAAUGGCGGAAAGUCUGACCGAGAAACGCCGAGUGAGUGAAGAAGGUUUUCGGAUCGUAAAACUCUGUUGUUAGAGAAGCGGUAUCUAACCAGAAAGCCACGGCUAACUACGUGCCAGCAGCCGCGGUAAUAC